AGAUAGAGUUUAGUUAAAUUUCAAAUAUAACAGGGGUAUUUAUGAAAUAAAGUAAGUAAUUGACCAUUAAAUAUAAGAGGGGUAAAGUUGGAAUUUAAAUAUUAUUAACUUCAAUUUGGAUGGGCACUUAAUGGUAGGGUUAUUUUUGAAAGUUUUUUAAAUUUAGGAGGGUAUACAUGAUAUUUCAAUUUUUAUAUGGAUAUUUAUGAAAUUAGAUAAUUUUAGAAGGGUAUUGAGGAAAUUUUCCCUUUUUUUUUUCUCUCUCUCACUCUCUCUCUCUCUCUCUCACACACCAUACAUUCUUUUCUUUUUUUUUAUUUUUUUCUCUCAACAUUUUUUUUUUUGUUUUUGCCUACACCAUAUGUAAAAUUUUAUCGCACAAACUAGUCCUAUUUUUUAAUAGUAAAUAUAACAAAAUUAAAAUUUCAUUCAGGCCCUGUUUGGAUGCAUAGUUAAAAAACUCCAUAGAAUUUUUAUUCUAUGGUUUUGGUCUAAAUGAAAUACGGAAUCCUGUAACUACAAAAAAAUUCCAUAGCUUCAUUUUUAAGCUGUUUGGAUACAUAUCAUAUAAUUCCACAGUAUUUAUAAUAAUUAAAUUUCCAAAAUUUUAAAAUUCAAAAUUCAAAACUCAAAAUUCAAAAUUUAAAAUUCAAAAUUUAAAAAUAAAAUUUUAAAAAUUAAAAAUAAAAAUUCAAAAUAUAAAAUUAAAAUUUAAAAUUUAAAAUUUAAAAAGUAAAUUAGAUUUUAUGUUUUAA
RNAcentral lists this long non-coding RNA (755 nucleotides) under Ananas comosus (pineapple). Its description in RNAcentral is "long non-coding RNA (ACOM_LNC026401)". The record is from RNAcentral. Lineage: Eukaryota; Viridiplantae; Streptophyta; Magnoliopsida; Poales; Bromeliaceae.